RNAcentral lists this transfer RNA (71 nucleotides) under Spongospora subterranea. Its description in RNAcentral is "tRNA-Trp". It matches the Rfam family "tRNA". Rfam says of the family: Transfer RNA (tRNA) molecules are approximately 80 nucleotides in length. Their secondary structure includes four short double-helical elements and three loops (D, anti-codon, and T loops). Further hydrogen bonds mediate the characteristic L-shaped molecular structure. tRNAs have two regions of fundamental functional importance: the anti-codon, which is responsible for specific mRNA codon recognition, and the 3' end, to which the tRNAs corresponding amino acid is attached (by aminoacyl-tRNA synthetases). tRNAs cope with the degeneracy of the genetic code in two manners: having more than one tRNA (with a specific anti-codon) for a particular amino acid; and 'wobble' base-pairing, i.e. permitting non-standard base-pairing at the 3rd anti-codon position. The record is from RNAcentral. Lineage: Eukaryota; Endomyxa; Phytomyxea; Plasmodiophorida; Plasmodiophoridae.
GAGGGAAUAGUUUAAUGGUAAAACAGCGAUCUUCAACAUUGUAGUUAUAGGUUCAACUCCUUUUUCCCUUG